AUCCUUUCAGCCGCCGCUCUGCUCCUGCUUCAAAAAAAAAUCUCGCCGCCAAUCCCUUCUCCUCCUUAUCUCUCUCUCGCGCGUCUUCCUCCCUGCGCCCAGCCGAGCCCCUUCAUCGCGCCCAGCUCGCCCAUGGUGGCGCGCGCGCACUCCCUGUGCUCGCCCAUGGCGGAUCCCUCCGCUCGGCCGCCCACCUCCCCAAGCUCGUCGCGAGUCCCCAGCCCCUCUCUGCUCGGCCAUGGCCGCUGUGCCGAGCUCCUCCUCCUGCUCGCCAGAAUGGCGCUUCUCUGCUCAGACCGCGCCCUGGCGUGGAGCUUCCUCCCUGCUGCAGCUCAGCCUCCAGGUUGCCUCCUCGCCGCGCGCUUCUUCCUUAUUCCCUGCGCCCCUGCUUCCUGGUAGCCGCGCCCUGCUCUUGGCGGCGCUCACCCUCUGCUCACUCUCCUGGCCGCCAUCUCCAUGGUCGCGCGCCCAGCUCCCUCCUACCCUGCUCGUCUAUGGCGACUUCCCCCUGCUGGCAGCCGUUCGGCCCAGCUCCAUCCCUGCCCAUCUCCCAGCCCGGAUCUCGUUCCUGCUCGGCGUUCGUCUCCUUGCUCGCUGGCGACCUUCCCUCUGUCCUCCAGUGUCGCGCCGGCUUGGAGUUUUCAUGGCCGCCGCCCUGCCCUAUCUUCCAUGGUUGUGCGUUUGCUCUGCUCGGAAUCACUCCCAUGGCGAGCUCGCCCGGCGUUCAUCCCCUGCGUCUCCUCGCCGUGGAUCUUCCUUCCCCAGCUUCUUCCUCCCUGCGGCUGUUUGCCCUCGCCUGUGCCGCGCCCCUGCGCUCGUCGCGGCGCUCCAGCUCGCCCCUGCCCAAGUGAAUCGCCCGGGUCCGGCUUGGACACCAUGUCGUGUCCCCUGCGUCACGCGUCGUGUGUAGAGCAAUGAAACAAAAAUUCGUGCGCGUCGAGCUCCCGCGUCGAAUCCAGCCCCAUGUUGACGCGUCCCUGUUCCAGCUUGUCGUGCCAUGUUCCAGCUUGUCGUGCCGCGUCGUCAUCGCUUCCUGUCGCGAGCUCGAUUUCUGUUGUCAUCGGACUUCACGCAUGCUCGCGUUUGUCGUCGAGCUGUUGAACCCGUCCUCCCUUGCUCGUGACUUCGUCGUCAAGUCUCGCUGUCCAUGGCGGAGUUCCCUGCUGUCAGCCUCCGCACCCAUUCUAGGCCGUCGUAAAACUCUAGUGCUUGUCGCUGAUAUCCGAUCGUCUCCAACCUUUGUUUUGCUGUCGUCGUUCGAUCACCCCGUCUUGAUGUCGGUCUCUACGUGAUGUCUCUGAAUUGUGAUCGUGCGGACAAAAGAAUUCCCAAGAGAAGAUGUCCAAAGAUUGGAUGGUGGUGUGCGUGAAGUUCGUGUGGCACCUGCCAAGCGCUCGGCAAAUUAUUGGAAUCGGAAAAUCACUACCGAUCUCACGGAUUCGAGUCAGCCGUUGAAACGGUACGUGAAUUAACCACGUGAUGCGGAGAACCAGAACUGAGUCGACCACAAGAUGGUGCUAAUGAACGGAACUGAAGGUGGACAGACGAAACAAGUAUCAGAACAAAAGAUGGUCGUCAAGUGGACGUCGUCUAACAACACUAACCUAGUGUUAUUCAGGCAAGCCCCGGUGCAUGCAACCCCUUCCUUGUGUUUUUAAGUAAUUUUUACACACUUUAAGUCUAGCAAAAUGUGCAUUAGGUUUAUAGGAGUUGCUUGAAAACUCUUUGAUGCAUUGCCUACCUUGAUAUCCAUACCUUUAUAGAUA
RNAcentral lists this unclassified non-coding RNA (1766 nucleotides) under Zea mays. Its description in RNAcentral is "misc RNA Zm00001eb089440". The record is from RNAcentral. Lineage: Eukaryota; Viridiplantae; Streptophyta; Magnoliopsida; Poales; Poaceae.